GACGAACGCUGGCGGCGUGCUUAACACAUGCAAGUCGAACGGAAAGGCCCUGCUUUUGUGGGGUGCUCGAGUGGCGAACGGGUGAGUAACACGUGAGUAACCUGCCCUUGACUUUGGGAUAACUUCAGGAAACUGGGGCUAAUACCGGAUAGGAGCUCCUGCUGCAUGGUGGGGGUUGGAAAGUUUCGGCGGUUGGGGAUGGACUCGCGGCUUAUCAGCUUGUUGGUGGGGUAGUGGCUUACCAAGGCUUUGACGGGUAGCCGGCCUGAGAGGGUGACCGGCCACAUUGGGACUGAGAUACGGCGCAGACUCCUACGGGAGGCAGCAGUGGGGAAUAUUGUACAAUGGGCGGAAGCCUGAUGCAGCAACGCCGCGUGCGGGAUGACGGCCUUCGGGUUGUAAACCGCUUUCGCCUGUGACGAAGCGUGAGUGACGGUAAUGGGUAAAGAAGCACCGGCUAACUACGUG
This 468-nucleotide ribosomal RNA is filed under the name uncultured bacterium. Its description in RNAcentral is "partial 16S ribosomal RNA". It matches the Rfam family "Bacterial small subunit ribosomal RNA", at positions 28 to 507 of the family's 1533-position model. The record is from RNAcentral.